RNAcentral lists this small RNA (644 nucleotides) under Porites compressa. RNAcentral's name for it is "eukaryotic LSU rRNA". The stretch from base 239 to 392 matches the Rfam family "5.8S ribosomal RNA". Lineage: Eukaryota; Metazoa; Cnidaria; Anthozoa; Scleractinia; Poritidae. The record is from RNAcentral.
GGUGAACCUGCGGAAGGAUCAUUACCGAUGUGAAAAAUCCAAGGUUAAACAUCAUUAACCAGUGUGAACUGUACAACAACUCUUUAGGGGUCGGCACAGGCGUGUGUCGUUAAAUGGCGGAUAGGUUCCUUCCGCCAGCCCCGCCAUUGUGUUUAUUAUAUCACUUUGAACGUUAAAGACUGAGAACUAUGUAUCAUGCAUUAAAUGUAUGAGAAAGAAGGAAAGAAAAAUGAGAGACAACUUUUGACGGUGGAUCUCUUGGCUCACGUAUCGAUGAAGAACGCAGCCAGCUGCGAUAUGUAGUGUGAAUUGCAGAAUUCAGUGAAUCAUUGAAUCUUUGAACGCAAAUGGCGCUCUUGGGUUCUCCCAGGAGCAUGUCUGUCUGAGUGUCGGAUUUUAUCGAGCGCACUCGUGAGUGCGGUAUUGAGGUGUCACGGCGUGUUAGCAAGCAAGCAUUAAAUCGCCGUGUCCCUUGAAGGACAGCAGCAUUGGACUCGCAUUCUCUAUUGAAACUUGAGUGCGAAGGCUAAAGAUAAUAUUUUCCUUCGCCCAGACAUGCAAUAGCAGAAACAAAGUCCAAUCAAAGCGGUGACAGACAAUAAACAUCAAAUCUUGACCUCAGAUCAGGCAAGGCUACCCGCUGA